UGAGGAAUAUUGGUCAAUGGGCGGAAGCCUGAACCAGCCAAGUAGCGUGCAGGAUGACGGCCCUAUGGGUUGUAAACUGCUUUUAUACAGGAAUAAAGUUAGCCACGGGUGGUUAUUUGUAGGUACUGUAUGAAUAAGGACCGGCUAAUUCCGUGCCAGCAGCCGCGGUAAUACGGAAGGUCCAGGCGUUAUCCGGAUUUAUUGGGUUUAAAGGGAGCGUAGGCCGUCUGUUAAGCGUGUUGUGAAAUGUAGAUGCUCAACAGCUGAAUUGCAGCGCGAACUGGCAGACUUGAGUGUGCGCAACGUAGGCGGAAUUCGUGGUGUAGCGGUGAAAUGCUUAGAUAUCGCGAAGAACUCCGAUUGCGAAGGCAGCUUACGGGAGCACAACUGACGCUGAAGCUCGAAAGUGCGGGUAUCGAACA
This 422-nucleotide ribosomal RNA is filed under the name uncultured prokaryote. Its description in RNAcentral is "bacterial SSU rRNA". It matches the Rfam family "Bacterial small subunit ribosomal RNA", at positions 355 to 774 of the family's 1533-position model. The record is from RNAcentral.